AAGCUUUUGAAAGGGCCAAAACCUAAGCUUUAUGCAUCAUGCCCGACCUAGACGUAUCAAAGAUGGAUUUUUUCAAGACUAUGGUAGAUGACUAGCUGGUGGACAUGAAGGAAGCUUCUUCUAAAGUGGAGGUUUUGAAAGACGUGGCGAUGAACAAAUCGACCCCUGAGUCUCAGGAAGACGAGCAUCACGAAAUUUAAUGUUUUGUUUAUGUUUGUUAUUG
This 223-nucleotide long non-coding RNA is filed under the name Lathyrus oleraceus (garden pea). RNAcentral describes it as "Pisum sativum (pea) long non-coding RNA (PSAT_LNC023464)". The record is from RNAcentral. Lineage: Eukaryota; Viridiplantae; Streptophyta; Magnoliopsida; Fabales; Fabaceae.